RNAcentral lists this long non-coding RNA (484 nucleotides) under Homo sapiens (human). Its description in RNAcentral is "PREDICTED lncRNA (TCONS_00161967)". The record is from RNAcentral. Lineage: Eukaryota; Metazoa; Chordata; Mammalia; Primates; Hominidae.
CCACUUCCUUGCUUCAACACUCCCUAUGACAGCCUCACACAGGGGACACUCAGUCUCUGCCUGAACUCUUCCAUGAUACAAGAUUGCCCCAAACCAGAGGCCCUUCCACUGAAUCUGCUUUCUGAGUCCCCAUCCCCCAACUUUGCCUCUGCCUCUUCUGAUAGCGUACUGUUCAUUCUGUUUUGCAGGCCUGCCUAUCUAUCAGCAACCCCCAGUAUAGUGUAAGAUUUUCAAGGACAAGAUCUACAGAAACCCACUACACAGGAAACACUGCUUUGCCGAGCACAGGCCUGACGCAUGUGGGCUGAACUGAAUACAGCACCCACACUGGAACUACGGAAAUGACGUUAGACAAAAAGCAAAUUCAAGCAAUUUUCUUAUUUGAGUUCAAAACGGGUUGUAAAGCAGUGAAGACAACUCGCAACAUCAACAAUGCAUUUGGCAAUGCAUUUGGUGGUUCAGGAAGUUUUGCAAAGGACACGAG